Molecule: ribosomal RNA, 415 nt
Filed under: uncultured bacterium
Lineage: Bacteria
Description: bacterial SSU rRNA
Rfam family: Bacterial small subunit ribosomal RNA
Source: RNAcentral
UGGGGAAUAUUGGACAAUGGGCGCAAGCCUGAUCCAGCAAUGCCGCGUGGGUGAAGAAGGCCUUCGGGUUGUAAAGCCCUUUUGUACGGGAAGCGGUACCGUAAGAAUAAGCACCGGCUAACUUCGUGCCAGCAGCCGCGGUAAUACGAAGGGUGCAAGCGUUAAUCGGAAUUACUGGGCGUAAAGCGUGCGUAGGUGGUUGGUUAAGUCUGUCGUGAAAGCCCUGGGCUCAACCUGGGAAUGGCGAUGGAUACUGGCCGACUAGAGUGCGGUAGAGGGUAGCGGAAUUUCCGGUGUAGCGGUGAAAUGCGUAGAGAUCGGAAGGAACAUCCGUGGCGAAGGCGGCUACCUGGACCAGCACUGACACUGAGGCACGAAAGCGUGGGGAGCAAACAGGAUUAGAUACCCGAGUAGU